UUACUUGCUCUGGUUGCAUUCCUCUACUAACUUUCGUCCUAUUGUUAGAAAUUUAAAUGAAUUUUAUCCCAUUGCUACCUACUCCAUUCUGGGAAUAGGAAUAGACAGAGUUUGAUUCCUAUCUUGCAACUUAAAACUCCAUGUUUUGGCUCAUGACACUACUCUAAUUAUGACCUGCUUUAAGUCCUACACUUCUGAAUUCUAAAUCUUGACAACUAUCCUUACUCAUGUAAUCUCAUUCUGGGCUUUCUAAUAUCGCUUUUCAG
Molecule: unclassified non-coding RNA, 266 nt
Filed under: Hevea brasiliensis (rubber tree)
Lineage: Eukaryota; Viridiplantae; Streptophyta; Magnoliopsida; Malpighiales; Euphorbiaceae
Source: RNAcentral